This 253-nucleotide ribosomal RNA is filed under the name uncultured bacterium. Its description in RNAcentral is "partial 16S ribosomal RNA". It matches the Rfam family "Bacterial small subunit ribosomal RNA", at positions 524 to 776 of the family's 1533-position model. The record is from RNAcentral.
UACAGAGGUCCCAAGCGUUGUUCGGAUUCACUGGGCUUAAAGGGUGCGUAGGUGGCCAGGUAAGUUCGGUGUGAAAGCUCGGAGCUUAACUCCGAAAUGGCAUUGAAUACUAUCUGGCUAGAGGGUCGGAGGGGAGACUGGAAUUCUCGGUGUAGCGGUGAAAUGCGUAGAUAUCGAGAGGAACACCAGUGGCGAAGGCGAGUCUCUGGACGACUCCUGACACUGAGGCACGAAAGCCAGGGGAGCAAACAGG